GAGAAGGGCCCCCAAACCCCCCUGGUGGAAACAUACCUUAUGUUGCCUCGGCGGAUCAGCCCGCGCCCCGUAAAAAGGGACGGCCCGCCGCAGGAACCCUAAACUCUGUUUUUAGUGGAACUUCUGAGUAUAAAAAACAAAUAAAUCAAAACUUUCAACAACGGAUCUCUUGGUUCUGGCAUCGAUGAAGAACGCAGCAAAAUGCGAUAAGUAAUGUGAAUUGCAGAAUUCAGUGAAUCAUCGAAUCUUUGAACGCACAUUGCGCCCGCCAGUAUUCUGGCGGGCAUGCCUGUUCGAGCGUCAUUUCAACCCUCAAGCCCAGCUUGGUGUUGGGAGCUGCAGUCCUGCUGCACUCCCCAAAUACAUUGGCGGUCACGUCGAGCUUCCAUAGCGUAGUAAUUUACACAUCGUUACUGGUAAUCGUCGCGGCCACGCCGUUAAACCCCAACUUCUGAAUGUUGACCUCGGAUCAGGUAGGAAUACCCGCUGAACUUAAGCAUAUCAAUAAGCGGAGGAAA
This 518-nucleotide ribosomal RNA is filed under the name Fusarium graminearum. RNAcentral's name for it is "eukaryotic LSU rRNA". The stretch from base 150 to 303 matches the Rfam family "5.8S ribosomal RNA". The record is from RNAcentral. Lineage: Eukaryota; Fungi; Ascomycota; Sordariomycetes; Hypocreales; Nectriaceae.